CUACGGGCUGCUCCAGUGAGGAAUUUUGCGCAAUGGGGGAAACCCUGACGCAGCAACGCCGCGUGAGUGAAGAAGGCUUUCGGGUCGUAAAGCUCUGUCAGAUAGGAAAAAAGUUCAUAUGUAAAUAGCUUAUGAAUCUGAUGGUACUAUCAGAGGAAGCACCGGCUAACUCCGUGCCAGCAGCCGCGGUAAUACGGAGGGUGCAAGCGUUGUUCGGAAUUACUGGGCGUAAAGGGCGUGUAGGCGGUAUGGUAAGUCAGAUGUGAAAGCCCGGGCUUAACUCAGGAAGUGCAUUUGAUACUGCCAUCCUUGAGUAUGGGAGAGGAGAGUAGAAUUCCCAGUGUAGAGGUGAAAUUCGUAGAUAUUGGGAGGAAUACCCGUGGCGAAGGCGACUCUCUGGACCAAUACUGACGCUGAGACGCGAAAGCGUGGGGAGCAAACAGGAUUAGAUACCCGAGUAGUC
This 463-nucleotide ribosomal RNA is filed under the name uncultured bacterium. RNAcentral describes it as "partial 16S ribosomal RNA". It matches the Rfam family "Bacterial small subunit ribosomal RNA", at positions 339 to 795 of the family's 1533-position model. The record is from RNAcentral.